GUUGGUGACACGACAUCGUGGUCACACCCGGUCCCAUUCCGAACCCGGAAGUUAAGCACGAUCGUGCCGAUGAUACUCCUUGUGGGGAAAGUAGGUAGUCGCCAGCA
RNAcentral lists this ribosomal RNA (107 nucleotides) under Parcubacteria group bacterium. The record is from RNAcentral.